AGUAGUGAAGUAAAAUUAUACAUUUAGUUUCGACCUAAAAUUAAGAGCAAUCUCCUUACUU
RNAcentral lists this transfer RNA (61 nucleotides) under Scotomedes sp. Its description in RNAcentral is "tRNA-Arg". The record is from RNAcentral. Lineage: Eukaryota; Metazoa; Arthropoda; Insecta; Hemiptera; Velocipedidae.